AGCAGCCGCGGUAAUUCCAGCUCCAAUAGCGUAUAUUAAAGUUGUUGCAGUUAAAAAGCUCGUAGUUGAAUUUCGGGAUUGACGUGACGGUCGUGCCUUAAGGGGUAUGAACUGUUACAGUCAAUUUCUCACCUUCUGGAGAAAUAUGAUGUCCUUAAUUGGGUGUCAUAUGGAACCAGGACUUUUACCUUGAAAAAUUAGAGUGUUUAAAGCAAGCUUAUUGCUCGAAUACAUUAGCAUGGAAUAAUAAAAUAGGACGGCAUGAUUCUAUUUUGUUGGUUUCUAGGAUCACCGUAAUGAUUAAUAGGGAUAGUUGGGGGCAUUAGUAUUCAAUUGUCAGAGGUGAAAUUCUUGGAUUUAUUGAAGACUAACUACUGCGAAAGCAUUUGCCAAGGAUGUUUUCAUUAAUCAAGAACGAAAGUUAGGGGAUCGAAGACGAUCAGAUACCGU
RNAcentral lists this ribosomal RNA (450 nucleotides) under uncultured Entrophospora. RNAcentral's name for it is "SSU rRNA". It matches the Rfam family "Eukaryotic small subunit ribosomal RNA", at positions 569 to 1018 of the family's 1831-position model. Lineage: Eukaryota; Fungi; Glomeromycota; Glomeromycetes; Entrophosporales; Entrophosporaceae. The record is from RNAcentral.